GACGAACGCUGGCGGCGUGCUUAACACAUGCAAGUCGAACGGAAAGGCCCUGCUUUUGUGGGGUUCUCGAGUGGCGAACGGGUGAGUAACACGUGAGUAACCUGCCCUUGACUUUGGGAUAACUUCAGGAAACUGGGGCUAAUACCGGAUAGGAGCUCCUGCUGCAUGGUGGGGGUUGGAAAGUUUCGGCGGUUGGGGAUGGACGCGCGGCUUAUCAGCUUGUUGGUGGGGUAGUGGCUUACCAAGGCUUUGACGGGUAGCCGGCCUGAGAGGGUGACCGGGGACAAGAGGACUAAGGUAGGGACCAGACGGCUACGGGAGGCAGCAGGGGGGAGUCUGGCACAAUGGGCCGGAGUCUGAUGCAGCAACGCCGCGGUCGGGAAGACGGCUUGUGGGUUAUGAAAAGCUUUCGCCUGUUACCAAGCUUGUGUGACGGUAACGAAAAAAUAAGCACCGGCUAACUUCGUG
RNAcentral lists this ribosomal RNA (468 nucleotides) under uncultured bacterium. Its description in RNAcentral is "partial 16S ribosomal RNA". It matches the Rfam family "Bacterial small subunit ribosomal RNA", at positions 28 to 507 of the family's 1533-position model. The record is from RNAcentral.